AUUAGGGUGGCAGAGCCAGGUACCAUGCACGGGGCCUAAGUCCCUGCCACCAAAGUUCAAAUCUUUUCCCUAACA
RNAcentral lists this transfer RNA (75 nucleotides) under Cyrtodactylus auribalteatus (Golden-belted bent-toed gecko). RNAcentral describes it as "tRNA Leu". The record is from RNAcentral. Lineage: Eukaryota; Metazoa; Chordata; Lepidosauria; Squamata; Gekkonidae.